Molecule: ribosomal RNA, 484 nt
Filed under: uncultured bacterium
Lineage: Bacteria
Description: partial 16S ribosomal RNA
Rfam family: Bacterial small subunit ribosomal RNA
Source: RNAcentral
AUUGAACGCUGGCGGCAGGCCUAACACAUGCAAGUCGAGCGGAUGAAGGGAGCUUGCUCCUGGAUUCAGCGGCGGACGGGUGAGGAAUGCCUAGGAAUCUGCCUGGUAGUGGGGGAUAACGUCCGGAAACGGGCGCUAAUACCGCAUACGUCCUGAGGGAGAAAGUGGGGGAUCUUCGGACCUCACGCUAUCAGAUGAGCCUAGGUCGGAUUAGCUAGUUGGUGGGGUAAAGGCCUACCAAGGCGACGAUCCGUAACUGGUCUGAGAGGAUGAUCAGUCGCACUGGAACUGAGACACGGUCCAGACGCCUACGGGAGGCAUCAGUGGGGAAUAUUGGACCAUGGGCGAAAGCCUGAUCCAGCCAUGCCUCGUGUGUGAAGAAGGUCUUCGGAUUUUAAAGCACUUUAAGUUGGGAGGAAGGGCAGUAAGUUAAUACCUUGCUGUUUUGACGUUACCUACAGAAUAAGCACCGGCUAACUUCGUG